UACUGGCGAUCUUGAGCGACCUAGGGGCAGUCGGAACAAGUGGUGGAGCGGUGAAAUGCGUAGAUAUCACUUGGAACGCCAAUGGUGAAAACAGACUGCUGGGGGUUCGCUGACGCUGAGACACGAAAGCCAGGGGAGCAAACGGGAUUAGAUACCCCGGUAGUCCUGGCUGUAAACGAUGUCGACUAGAUCGCGGCGGCUCUGACGUCGUCGCGGUCGAAGCAAAAGUGCUAAGUCGACCGCCUGGGAAGUACGGUCGCAAGGCUAAAACUCAAAGGAAUUGACGGAAUCGAAUU
RNAcentral lists this ribosomal RNA (296 nucleotides) under uncultured bacterium. Its description in RNAcentral is "partial 16S ribosomal RNA". It matches the Rfam family "Bacterial small subunit ribosomal RNA", at positions 631 to 925 of the family's 1533-position model. The record is from RNAcentral.